Molecule: ribosomal RNA, 537 nt
Filed under: uncultured Nitrospira sp.
Lineage: Bacteria; Pseudomonadati; Nitrospirota; Nitrospiria; Nitrospirales; Nitrospiraceae
Description: bacterial SSU rRNA
Rfam family: Bacterial small subunit ribosomal RNA
Source: RNAcentral
UAAGGAAUAUUGCGCAAUGGGCGACAGCCUGACGCAGCGACGCCGCGUGGGGGAUGAAGGUCUUCGGAUUGUAAACCCCUUUCGGCAGGGAAGAUGGAACGGGUAACCGUUCGGACGGUACCUGCAGAAGCAGCCACGGCUAACUUCGUGCCAGCAGCCGCGGUAAUACGAAGGUGGCAAGCGUUGUUCGGAUUUACUGGGCGUACAGGGAGCGUAGGCGGUUGGGUAAGCCCUUCGUGAAAUCUCCGGGCCUAACCCGGAAAGUGCGGAGGGGACUGCUCGGCUAGAGGAUGGGAGAGGAGCGCGGAAUUCCCGGUGUAGCGGUGAAAUGCGUAGAGAUCGGGAGGAAGGCCGGUGGCGAAGGCGGCGCUCUGGAACAUUUCUGACGCUGAGGCUCGAAAGCGUGGGGAGCAAACAGGAUUAGAUACCCUGGUAGUCCACGCCUUAAACGAUGGAUACUAAGUGUCGGCGGGUUACCGCCGGUGCCGCAGCUAACGCAGUAAGUAUCCCGCCUGGGAAGUACGGCCGCAAGGUUGA